CAAUAGCGUAUAUUAAAGUUGUUGCAGUUAGAACGCUCGUAGUCGGAUUUCGGGGCGGGCCGACCGGUCUGCCGAUGGGUAUGCACUGGUCGGCGCGUCCUUCCUUCCGGAGACCGUCCCUACUCUUAACUGAGCGGGGGCGGGAGACGGGACUUUUACUUUGAAAAAAUCAGAGUGUUUCAAGCAGGCAGCUCGCUCUUGCAUGGAUUAGCAUGGGAUAAUGAAAUAGGACUUUGGUGCUAUUUUGUUGGUUUCGAACACCGAAGUAAUGAUGAGAAGGGACAGUCAGGGGCACUCGUAUUCCGCCGAGAGAGGUGAAAUUCUCAGACCAGCGGAAGACGAACCACUGCGAAANCANNNGCCAGGGAUGUUUUCACNGA
This 380-nucleotide ribosomal RNA is filed under the name uncultured eukaryote. RNAcentral's name for it is "partial 18S ribosomal RNA". It matches the Rfam family "Eukaryotic small subunit ribosomal RNA", at positions 592 to 976 of the family's 1831-position model. The record is from RNAcentral.